ACGCUAUCACUCCUACGGGAGGCAGCAGUGGGAAUAUUGGACAAUGGGCGAAAGCCUGAUCCAGCAAUGCCGCGUGAGUGAUGAAGGCCCUUAGGGUUGUAAAGCUCUUUUACCAGGGAUGAUAAUGACAGUACCUGGAGAAUAAGCUCCGGCUAACUCCGUGCCAGCAGCCGCGGUAAUACGGAGGGAGCUAGCGUUGUUCGGAAUUACUGGGCGUAAAGCGCGCGUAGGCGGCUACUCAAGUCAGAGGUGAAAGCCCGGGGCUCAACCCCGGAACUGCCUUUGAAACUAGGUAGCUAGAAUCUUGGAGAGGUCAGUGGAAUUCCGAGUGUAGAGGUGAAAUUCGUAGAUAUUCGGAAGAACACCAGUGGCGAAGGCGACUGACUGGACAAGUAUUGACGCUGAGGUGCGAAAGUGUGGGGAGCAAACAGGAUUAGAUACCCUGGUAG
RNAcentral lists this ribosomal RNA (449 nucleotides) under uncultured bacterium. Its description in RNAcentral is "bacterial SSU rRNA". It matches the Rfam family "Bacterial small subunit ribosomal RNA", at positions 326 to 793 of the family's 1533-position model. The record is from RNAcentral.